This 1358-nucleotide ribosomal RNA is filed under the name uncultured bacterium. RNAcentral describes it as "bacterial SSU rRNA". It matches the Rfam family "Bacterial small subunit ribosomal RNA", at positions 28 to 1381 of the family's 1533-position model. The record is from RNAcentral.
GAUGAACGCUAGCUACAGGCUUAACACAUGCAAGUCGAGGGGCAGCAUGGUCUUAGCUUGCUAAGGCCGAUGGCGACCGGCGCACGGGUGAGUAACACGUAUCCAACCCGCCGUCUACUCUUGGACAGCCUUCUGAAAGGAAGAUUAAUACAAGAUGGCAUCAUGAGUCCACAUGUUCACAUGAUUAAAGGUAUUCCGGUAGACGAUGGGGAUGCGUUCCAUUAGAUAGUAGGCGGGGUAACGGCCCACCUAGUCUUCGAUGGAUAGGGGUUCUGAGAGGAAGGUCCCCCACAUUGGAACUGAGACACGGUCCAAACUCCUACGGGAGGCAGCAGUGAGGAAUAUUGGUCAAUGGGCGAGAGCCUGAACCAGCCAAGUAGCGUGAAGGAUGACUGCCCUAUGGGUUGUAAACUUCUUUUAUAAAGGAAUAAAGUCGGGUAUGGAUACCCGUUUGCAUGUACUUUAUGAAUAAGGAUCGGCUAACUCCGUGCCAGCAGCCGCGGUAAUACGGAGGAUCCGAGCGUUAUCCGGAUUUAUUGGGUUUAAAGGGAGCGUAGAUGGAUGUUUAAGUCAGUUGUGAAAGUUUGCGGCUCAACCGUAAAAUUGCAGUUGAUACUGGAUAUCUUGAGUGCAGUUGAGGCAGGCGGAAUUCGUGGUGUAGCGGUGAAAUGCUUAGAUAUCACGAAGAACUCCGAUUGCGAAGGCAGCCUGCUAAGCUGCAACUGACAUUGAGGCUCGAAAGUGUGGGUAUCAAACAGGAUUAGAUACCCUGGUAGUCCACACGGUAAACGAUGAAUACUCGCUGUUUGCGAUAUACAGCAAGCGGCCAAGCGAAAGCGUUAAGUAUUCCACCUGGGGAGUACGCCGGCAACGGUGAAACUCAAAGGAAUUGACGGGGGCCCGCACAAGCGGAGGAACAUGUGGUUUAAUUCGAUGAUACGCGAGGAACCUUACCCGGGCUUAAAUUGCAGAUGAAUUACGGUGAAAGCCGUAAGCCGCAAGGCAUCUGUGAAGGUGCUGCAUGGUUGUCGUCAGCUCGUGCCGUGAGGUGUCGGCUUAAGUGCCAUAACGAGCGCAACCCUUGUUGUCAGUUACUAACAGGUUCCGCUGAGGACUCUGACAAGACUGCCAUCGUAAGAUGUGAGGAAGGUGGGGAUGACGUCAAAUCAGCACGGCCCUUACGUCCGGGGCUACACACGUGUUACAAUGGGGGGUACAGAGGGCCGCUACCACGCGAGUGGAUGCCAAUCCCAAAAACCUCUCUCAGUUCGGACUGGAGUCUGCAACCCGACUCCACGAAGCUGGAUUCGCUAGUAAUCGCGCAUCAGCCACGGCGCGGUGAAUACGUUCCCGGGCCU